RNAcentral lists this ribosomal RNA (540 nucleotides) under Triticum aestivum (bread wheat). RNAcentral's name for it is "partial small subunit ribosomal RNA". Lineage: Eukaryota; Viridiplantae; Streptophyta; Magnoliopsida; Poales; Poaceae. The record is from RNAcentral.
CUCGAUUAUAUAUGGUCUAUCCGCGUGCCCCUCAAAAUUAGAAUCUUCAUGUGGCAAUGGAUCCGUGGCCGGCUCCCCUCGGGCGUGGAGGUCCUGAAGCGCCAGGGUCCCGGUGACGGUAUCUGCCCCCUAUGUGGGACGGUAGAAACCUCGAAUCACAUCUUCUUCUCGUGCGUGUCCGCCCAGUUUCUUUGGGGCUGCCUCCGAGAGGUCAUCGGUGGUAACUGGUGUCACACUAACUUCCCCGAUCUCCUCUCUGAGGUUCAGACCUCCCCCUCGACAGGCCGCCACAUUAGGUGGCUGCUCAUUGGGGUGCUCGCUUGGACGCUGUGGACUGUGCGAAAUAAGCUUGUCAUUCAACGGGUCCCCCUUCGACAUGCUACUGACGCUGUGUUCAAAAUGUGUGGCUACUUGCAGCUUUGGCGGCCGCUUAGCCGUCACCAGGAUCGCGAUGCCAUCACCUCCAUCAUUGCCGACCUUCGCUCGAUGGCUCUCCGCUUGGCGCCGCCGCUCCCUCCGCCACCUCCUGAGCCGGAUUAG